RNAcentral lists this ribosomal RNA (440 nucleotides) under uncultured bacterium. RNAcentral's name for it is "partial 16S ribosomal RNA". It matches the Rfam family "Bacterial small subunit ribosomal RNA", at positions 338 to 795 of the family's 1533-position model. The record is from RNAcentral.
CCUACGUGACGCUGCAGUAGGGAAUAUUGCUCAAUGGCCGAAACCCUGAAGCAGCAACGCCGCGUGGAGGAUGAAGGUUUUCGGAUUGUAUACUCCUUUUGUUAUAGCAUAUAAUGACGGUAUCUAACGAAUAAGCAACGGCUAACUCCGUCCAAGAAGCGGCGGUAAUACGGAGGGUGCAAGCGUUACUCGGAAUCACUGGGCGUAAAGCGCGCGUAGUCGGCAUAGCAAGUCAGAUGUGAAAUCCUAUGGCUUAACCAUAGAACUGCAUUUGAAACUGGUAUGCUAGAGUAUGGGAGAGGUAGGUGGAAUUCUUGGUGUAGGGGUAAAAUCCGUAGAGAUCAAGAGGAAUACUCAUUGCGAAGGCGACAUGCUAGAACAUAACUGACGCUGAUGCGCGAAAGCGUGGGGAGCAAACAGGAUUAGAUACCCUUGUAGUC